AAGUCCUCAAGGCCUAAGGGAUUGUCCAGAGCCUAUAUAUCCCCUGCCAUGCACAUUCCCCAGAAGUCUACCGAAAUGGCCCAUUGUGGGCCUCUUUUCAAGAUGGGGCCUUCCAAGGGAAGCAUCUGCUGUCCUCUAAUUAUACUCCUAUGCUCAAGGGGUGGCUGUGUGCAGGAGAGGUGGAUGGACCUGAACACACAUACUCAUGAGGCACCUCACAACGCACAGUGAAGCUGGGGGCGGAAAGAGGAACCACAGGCUAGGGGGAGGUAAUCCCUAAUCCCUGUGCUACAUGUUCCUGCACUAAACUCCACAAAGUCCGGGAAUGCAAAAUGGAAGCCAGGCCUUACAGGUCACUCUGAAGAAAGAGAAAUAAUUCCUGUCCUG
RNAcentral lists this long non-coding RNA (387 nucleotides) under Homo sapiens (human). Its description in RNAcentral is "HSALNT0312302". The record is from RNAcentral. Lineage: Eukaryota; Metazoa; Chordata; Mammalia; Primates; Hominidae.